GCGUCUGCCCAAGCAAACUCACCUGCAGGAGCAGGCCGGAACGUAUAUAUACCGUUUGACACGGGAUCGUCAAACCUCCUCCCAAUAGCUCCAUCUGGGCCUCCGAUAAUUCCUCUUCCCCAGCCUUCAUCUUUUGCGGUAUCGUGCAUGUCACUGCCACGGGUGCGGCGUGGAAAGAAAAUGCGUUUCGCUGGGUCCCUAGCAUGUUCAAGCGUAAUGUUGGGUGCCAUGUUACCGGUAAUUAAGCACCUUGCGAAUUUAGACCCGAAUAAUUCAUUCUGUUCCUAUGCCCAUCGAAUCUGGUACGAUUGAGGAAGAAGUAGUACUGGAGACAGCAAUCCUGCAAGUGGUCGGGGCACUGAUCACAGAAAGUGAAGCAUUGCAACCAACAUGACCGAAAGGGUUUUAGAGGUGGUUGCGACCAUCUCUCGGCCGUCCU
RNAcentral lists this long non-coding RNA (439 nucleotides) under Coccomyxa subellipsoidea. RNAcentral describes it as "long non-coding RNA (CSUB_LNC000727)". The record is from RNAcentral. Lineage: Eukaryota; Viridiplantae; Chlorophyta; Trebouxiophyceae; Coccomyxaceae.